GCCUGGAUAGCUCAGUUGGUUAGAGUACGGUGUUGAUAACGCUAAGGUUACAGGUUCGAUUCUCGCAUGAGACA
Molecule: non-coding RNA, 74 nt
Organism: Podarcis lilfordi (Lilford's wall lizard)
Lineage: Eukaryota; Metazoa; Chordata; Lepidosauria; Squamata; Lacertidae
Source: the annotation of a GenBank genome assembly